UAGUCAGGCUGGAUACUAUACUAGGUUGAGCCAGUGGCGAACGGGUGCGUAACACGUGAGUCAUCUGCCUGAAAGUGGGGGAUAGCUCGCCGAAAGGCGAAUUAAUACCGCAUGUGCCCCGAAGCAAUUCGGGGUAAAGCCGGGGCAACCUGGCGCUUUUAGAUGAGCUCGCGGCCUAUCAGCUUGUUGGUAAGGUAACGGCUUACCAAGGCUUCGACGGGUAGCUGGUCUGAGAGGACGACCAGCCACACUGGAACUGAGACACGGUCCAGACACCUACGGGUGGCAGCAGUCGAGAAUUUUUCUCAAUGGGGGAAACCCUGAAGGAGCGACGCCGCGUGGAGGAUGAAGGCUUUCGGGUUGUAAACUCCUGUCAUUUGGGAACAAUACCUUACGUUAACUGCGUGGAGGUUUGAUAGUACCAGAAGAGGAAGAGACGGCUAACUCUGUGCCAGCAGCCGCGGUAAUACAGAGGUCUCGAGCGUUGUUCGGAUUCAUUGGGCGUAAAGGGCGCGUAGGCUGCGGGGCAAGUCGGGUGUGAAAUCUCAGAGCUCAACUCUGAACUGCACUCGAUACUGCUUUGCUAGAGGACUGGAGAGGAGAUUGGAAUUCUCGGUGUAGCA
This 623-nucleotide ribosomal RNA is filed under the name uncultured Verrucomicrobiota bacterium. RNAcentral describes it as "bacterial SSU rRNA". It matches the Rfam family "Bacterial small subunit ribosomal RNA", at positions 59 to 680 of the family's 1533-position model. Lineage: Bacteria; Pseudomonadati; Verrucomicrobiota. The record is from RNAcentral.